GCUAUUGUGUUGGACAAGCCAACGUGGCAAAGAACUGAAGGCAGCUUGCAGCCAAUGGCCUACAAGGAACUGAAUCCUGCCAACAACCACAGCAAGAGCUUGGAGUAUAUGUUUCAACAUUUGAGCCUUGAGGUAACUACAGCUCUGCCAAAACUGUGAUUUCAGCCUUGUAAGAGGCCCUGAAGUAGAAGACCCAGCUAAACCUUGCCCAGAUUCCUGACCUACAGAAACUGUGAGCAGGAUUCCGCUUCCAUCAUCAGUGCUGAGGUUUGACUUUACCUUGGCCUUGCCCUAUCGAUGUUGUAAUCUCACUCUAAACUGCCUGAGGCUGGGAAUUUAUACUUCACUGUAUCACCAGCACAUGCCCCUCUCGUGCAGGUGAAUGAUGAUGAUGAGAUACGAGAUGAAGAACCGGAGGAUGUUCUUAUUCACCCACCUGGAAAAACGCUAUUUGUGACACCUCCCAGGUGGUAUCAAAAGAUGAGAAUGGGAAGGAGCUGAAAGGGGGGGGAGAGAAGGUGGGGCAGAUAUGGUCUCCCUCCCUACCCCAUACUAGCAGUGGGGUAGAAUUUAGUCUAGUUCCCCCAGGAGGGCUUUACCCACUCCAGGAGGUGCCAGUCCCUGCUGCAGAAGGGCCACUUCAGAUAAUUGAGUCCAUAAUCCGUUCCUGGUGUCUGAACACAUUUAAGAUCUUUACCAACAGAGAUCAGGUGAAAAAGGUCGAGAAAAAAAAAAAAAAAAGAAUGGAAAAGGGCCAGGCAAGAUUGAAAGGGGGAAAAGCUUUUUCAAAGAACUAUGAAAGCGCAGGAGCGGGAUAGCCAGUAGAGUAUUUGGUUGAUACCGGAGCAGGUUUCUUGGUAUUCACCCAGAAGCCUAAAGGGACUGCCUCCACCAGCAGUUCUUGGGUUGUCCGGAUGACUGGAAAAGAGGUGACUUUUUGUAGCCAAUAGACUGAAAUAAGAGAAACAGCUUUCCUGCCAGUUUUUAUACAAGCCCAAAUGCUCAGUCCCACUUUUUGAAAUGGGAUUUCCUAAGUAAAGUGCACGCUGAAAUCUCUUUUGAUGAAAAGGGCCUGUCCCUGACAGUACCGCCAACAAACACCUGGAAAGUGCAAACAGAUCUCUUAGCACUCCCCCAACCGGUACUAUCCCCAGCUACCAUCUCACCCAUGGUUCAAAGAGUGGUUGAUGCCAGGGCCCUGUGAGUUUGGGCCAGUGGCUGGCUAAGAUGAGCUUGGACUGUCUGCCCUGUGACUGCAGAGCUGUUACUCAACUUCUUGCCUCCUUGGAUUAAAGAAAUUGAGGCUCAACUGUGGCUGCAGAGACUGACCACCGGAUGCCUAGAGUGAGGACUGUUGUGGGAGUGCUGAUCCUCAUUCCACACUCCUGUUCUCCCGGUGAAGAAGACAUCGACUGGUGACAAAAACGAUGAGCGAUACCAUCAGGACCCGAGAUAAUUGAGCAAAACCCGGACACGUCCAGUGACCGAAACCGAAACCAGGAUGGCGUGAAGAGGCCUGCAAGGCGACAACAAUAAGCCACUUCGUCAUUAGGUCCCCCUCGAAGAAGAAUCAACAUUCCUGGGAAUUUCUAAACCCUGACCCUUUCCCUAUAAAGCCCUUUUGUAGUCCUCUUGGGGCAGACAGAAUGUGGGGAAAACUUUGCCCCCUGUGUCUCUUGAACACGGUGUUCAAUAAAGUCCUCUUGCUGCUUACCUCCUCCUGUCUCACUAUUGGCUUGCGGCAGGCGGCUUGAGUCCAGAAUUUGCGGUAACACUUCCAGUCGGCUAACAGUACAUCAACUACAGCUUUUGGGAAAAAUCAAAUUUAAGUUUAGUAAAGUGUUCAAAAUUAAACAUCGGAUGAAAUAUUUACUGGUGCGUGUAGAUUCUUUUGCAGGAUGGGCAGAGACUUUUCCCUGCCGGACCAAGACGGCUAGAGAGAGGUCAACAGGUUUUAACUGCCUUAAGAAUAAAGUGGAAACUCCACACAACAUGGAGACCUCAAUCUGUCGGAAAAGGGUGAAAGAAUGAAUCGGACCAUAAAAUGUCAUCUUAGUAAAUUGUGCCCUAGACUGACAGAUGUUCUGCCACUGGCCCUCCUCUAAGUUUGUACUGCAUCCUGGGGAAAACUUAAAAUUAGUGCUUUUGAGAUACUUUAUAAGAGACCAUAUUGUCUCCACCAACUGUCCCCGGGAUUCUUCACCCAGCCCCUAAUGUAACGAUGUCUAAAUAUUUGCUUUCUGUAACCAAAAUUCUUUCCCAGUUAUAUCAGAUAAAAGUUCCCUCAUGAAAUUGCUGUGACCAGGUGCUCCUCCGGAAGGACCUCCUGUUACAAGCUAAGUGGACUGGACCCUUUACCACACCACUCAGCACUGACACAGUUGGGAAGCUUGCAGGAGUCAAGCCGUGGAUCCAUCAUUCCAAGUCAAGCCCUGCCCGGUCUACAGUGACAAGGAGUAGAAAGACCAG
Loxodonta africana (African savanna elephant) is the source of this 2469-nucleotide long non-coding RNA. RefSeq lists it as uncharacterized. The transcript is spliced from 4 exons. NCBI's taxonomy places the organism in Eukaryota, Metazoa, Chordata, Mammalia, Proboscidea, Elephantidae. The record is from RefSeq and is a predicted model, not a curated record.